RNAcentral lists this long non-coding RNA (761 nucleotides) under Volvox carteri. RNAcentral describes it as "long non-coding RNA (VCAR_LNC004353)". Lineage: Eukaryota; Viridiplantae; Chlorophyta; Chlorophyceae; Chlamydomonadales; Volvocaceae. The record is from RNAcentral.
GUCUAGGUCAGUGCACCUACUUUCGCAAUGAGCAAGCCCACGUGUUACUUUUAGACAACAAGUGAAGCACCUUCCCCGAAGGGUACAAGGUUGACUUUUCGCUUCAACCGCUAUAAGUACGGCCGACGUUCUUGUCCCCCUUCUUGUUCUUCUUCUUCAUCCCCUAAAGGGUUGUCUUCUUUAGGGUUGUCUUCUUUAGGGUUGUCUUCUUUAGGGUUGUCUUCUUUAGUGUUGUCUUCUUUAGUGUUGUCUUCUUUAGGGUUGUCUUCUUUAGGGUUGUCUUCUUUAGGGUUGUCUUCUUUAGGGUUGUCUUCUUUGGUUCAUCCCCUAAAGUUCCCCUUUAGGGGAAGAACUAAAGGGGAUGAACCAAAGUCUUCCCCUUCGUUUUCUUCCCCUUUAGGGGAAGAAGGGGAACCAAAGUCUCUUCUUCUUCCCCUUUAGGGGAAGAAGUGUUACCCUUCGGGGAGACGCAGGGGUUCCCCUAAAGGGGAAGAACACACCCCAAAGUCUCUUCUUCGUUUUCUUCGUCUUCUUUAGUUCCCCUAAAGGGGAUGAACCAAAGUCUCUUCUUCUUCCCCUUUAGGGGACUCCGUCUUCUUUAGUUCCCCUAAAGGGGAUGAAGAAGUUCCCCUUCGGGGAGGAACACCCCUUUGGUUCAUCCCCUUUAGGGGAACUAAAGAAGACGAACUANAGAAGUUCCCCUUUAGGGGAAGAACACCAAAGGGGAAGAACCGAAGGGGAACACACCCCCCCUUCGUCUU